GUGUAUUGAGGCUUCUCCUCUGUGUGCGUGUGUGUAUUGAGGCUCCUCCUGUGUGUGUGUGUCUUUCUCUCUCUGUGUCUGUGUGUGUGUGUCUGUGUUUGUGUUACAAAAGUUCUCUGAUAUGGAAAGCUCCCUCUGCCCACAAUGCCACUUGACGUUCAGAACCUUCCAUAAUGGCUCUCCAGAGGAAGAUUUUGAACCACUUUCUCAAUUCCUUGAUCCUAAAGGCUGUCUACAAAAGUUCUCUGAUAUGGAAAGCUCCCUCUGCCUUGGGACUGAACUGUUGAGCUGUAAAUAGAAUAGGAGAAUUAUUUUCCUAUUAUAUUAGUUUCCUAUUUCUGUAAAUAAAUAGUUUUAUUAGUUUCCUAUUUCUGUAAAUAAAUAGUUUUAUUAUUUAGGAAUAAGUUAGUUUAGGAAUAAGUUAGUUUCUUAUUAUGUCUCUUGUAAUCUCCUAUAUAAACUGUGCGUAUAGUCAAUCUAAUAGACAUAAUUUAUUAUUUUUCAUCCCAUAUUUCGUGUCAUGAACCUUUGCCCACAAUGCCACUUGAUGUUCAGAACCUUCCAUAAUUUCUCUCCAGAGGAAGAUUUUGAACAACUUUCUCAAUUCCUUGAUCCUAAAGG
Molecule: long non-coding RNA, 621 nt
Filed under: Vitis vinifera (wine grape)
Lineage: Eukaryota; Viridiplantae; Streptophyta; Magnoliopsida; Vitales; Vitaceae
Description: long non-coding RNA (VVIN_LNC003105)
Source: RNAcentral